CUGAACCAUGGCGGGCGGCGGCAUGGGGGCGGUGGGGCUCCGCGGGCAGCCUGGUUGCGCUGCACCCGGACGGGGCCGAGGGGACCUGAAAGCUGCGGCAGAGCCUGACCGCGCCGUUCUCCAGAAGAGCCCCGGCCGCGGCUGAGUCGCGCUCCGGGUGUGGACGGAGCCGGAGCCUCCCCGGGGCUCGGUGAGGACACAGGGCCCAAGCCCCGGACCUUCAAGUCUUGACCGAGCGCAUCCCCGGCCCUUCUGCGCCCACACCUGAGUUUUUGUCUGUAGGAGUUUCCGCAGUUUGCUAAGAAUCGACAUCUAGAGGAGUACUCACCACUUAAUUGAUGAUCAAUACACGUUCCUUGAAAGAACCGAUAGCAUGCGAUCGAUACAGAGCAUCUGCACUGGGAUUGUCCGCCCCGCCUGUCAGGGAGGCCUCGGGGGCUAAUGGAGCUGAGGGUAUAGUCGGCCUUGGACCCUCGCUUUUUUCCUUUCCUGUACUAUGAAGAUAACUGCCUUAUCUCCCCCUCAGGACUGUUUUGGGGAUUAAAUAGGACGUUUAAAUUACCAACGCUCUUUGAAAUAAACAUUUCAAAAUUAUUAUAACCCUUUAGUACAUGUGGGAAAACGUUGACAUUCAUGUUCAAGUUUAUUUUUCUGCUGGCUCAUUUAGGUUUGUUGAAGCCUUGAGUCCCUAGGAUUGUCUAAGAACAUGGGUAAAUGUGUGUGGAGGCCUCCCUGGAGGCCAGAGAACUGCCAGCAGCCUUCAUGAUGUUAGGGGAACAGGAACCUAGGAGAGCCAGGGUGACAUCGUUUUAAAAUCAACAACCCAUCUUGGCGGGCGCGGUGGCUCAAGCCUGUAAUCCCAGCAGUUUGGGAGAAAAAAAUUAGCCGGGUGUGGUGGUGGGCACCUGUAAUCUCAGCUACUCAGGAGGCUGAAGCAGAAUUGCUUGAACCCAGGAGGCAGAGGUUGCAGUGAGCUGAGAUCACGCCAUGGCACUCUAGCCUGGGCAACAAGAAUGAAACUCUGUCUCAAAAAAAUAAAAAUAAAAUAAAAUAAACUCCAUCUUAAAACCAGUGAAACCACCAUUGCAAAAUUAUAACUGAGACAGUGAGAGAUCUGACCUAACCAACUCCAUCCUACUUUUAACCUCCAAACUGUCCUUGUUCAUUCCUGGGUGUAGGCCAAACUAACUUUGGAAGAAACUUAGUUUAUGGUUUCCCGAAACAAAUCCUUUUCUUGUCUGGAGACUAGACUGCCUUUGUAGGACUAACAAAUUAGCCACAAGAUUAGAAAUUAUGGUUUAGAAUUCAUGCAGCUGGAGAUUACAAGAUUCUGACCCUCCCUAAAUUGCUCCUGGGGAUAACAUCACUAUUGAAAAACCUAACAACAGUGCUUGAGAUAUUUUGCAGACCUUGCACUUGCUGAAUUAGCUGGGACCAUCCAGAUGGAUAAACUGGCUCAUCUGAUCUUGUGGCCCGCACUCAGCAACCGGCUCAGGCCAAGAGGACAGCUUUGAUCCAUACGAUUUCAUCUCUGAUCUGACCCCUCAGUGCUCCCAGCUUACUGGCCCCCUACCUACCAAAUUAUCCUUAAAAACUCUGAACUCCAGGGCUGGGCACGGUGGCUCACACCUGUAAUCCCAGGACUCUGGGAGGCCGAGGCAGGCGGAUCACUUGAGGUCAGAAGUUCAAGACCAGCCUGGCCAACAUGGCAAAACCCCGUCUCUACUAAAAAUACAAAAAUUAGCCAGGCGUGGUGGUGCACGCCUGUAAUGCCAACUACUUGGGAGCCUGAGGCAGGAGAAUUGCUUGAACCCUGAAGGCGGAGGUUGCAGUGUGCUGAAAUCGCACCACUGCACUCCAGCCUGGGCAACAGAGCAAGACUCCAUCUCAAAAACAACAGCAAAAACUCUGAACUCCGAAUUCUUGGGGAAAUUGAUUUGAGUAAUAAUAAAACUCUGGUCUCCCGCACAGCCAGCUCUGUGUGGAUUAUUCUUUCUCUAUGCAGUUCACCUGUUUGGAUAAAUCAGCUCUGUGUAGGCAACAUGAACCUGAUUGGCAGUUACAGUAGCCUGUAAUCCCAGCUACGUGGGAGGCUGAG
RNAcentral lists this long non-coding RNA (2098 nucleotides) under Homo sapiens (human). Its description in RNAcentral is "PREDICTED lncRNA (TCONS_00253424)". Lineage: Eukaryota; Metazoa; Chordata; Mammalia; Primates; Hominidae. The record is from RNAcentral.